This 504-nucleotide ribosomal RNA is filed under the name uncultured bacterium. RNAcentral's name for it is "bacterial SSU rRNA". It matches the Rfam family "Bacterial small subunit ribosomal RNA", at positions 30 to 518 of the family's 1533-position model. The record is from RNAcentral.
UGAACGCUGGCGGCGUGCCUAACACAUGCAAGUCGAACGGAGAUUUAACGCUGAUGAAGCUUCGGCAGAAUCUUGUUAAAUCUUAGUGGCGGACGGGUGAGUAACGCGUGGGCAACCUGCCUCAUACUGGGGGAUAACAGCUGGAAACGACUGUUAAUACCGCAUAAGCGCACAGUGUCGCAUGACACAGUGUGAAAAACUCCGGUGGUAUGAGAUGGGCCCGCGUCAGAUUAGCCAGUUGGCGGGUAACGGCCCACCAAAGCGACGAUCUGUAGCCGGCCUGAGAGGGCGGACGGCCACAUUGGGACUGAGACACGGCCCAAACUCCUACGGGAGGCAGCAGUGGGGGAUAUUGCACAAUGGAGGAAACUCUGAUGCAGCGACGCCGCCGUGAGUGAAGAAGUAUUUCGGUAUGUAAAGCUCUAUCAGCAGGGAAGAAAGGCUCGUAAGAGAGAUGACGGUACCUGACUAAGAAGCCCCGGCUAACUACGUGCCAGCCGCGGC